UUCACGUAGCUCAGUUGGUUAGAGCACAUCACUCAUAAUGAUGGGGUCACAGGUUCGAAUCCCGUCGUAGCCACCA
Molecule: transfer RNA, 76 nt
Filed under: Salmonella enterica subsp. enterica serovar Newport
Lineage: Bacteria; Pseudomonadati; Pseudomonadota; Gammaproteobacteria; Enterobacterales; Enterobacteriaceae
Description: tRNA-Met
Rfam family: tRNA (bases 4-68)
About the family: Transfer RNA (tRNA) molecules are approximately 80 nucleotides in length. Their secondary structure includes four short double-helical elements and three loops (D, anti-codon, and T loops).
Source: RNAcentral